GCAGAUGUGACGUAAUUGGUAGACGUAUUAGACUUAGAAUCUAAUGAAAAACUUCGUGAGAGUUCAAGUCUCUCCAUCUGCA
RNAcentral lists this transfer RNA (82 nucleotides) under Synura petersenii. Its description in RNAcentral is "tRNA-Leu". It matches the Rfam family "tRNA". Rfam says of the family: Transfer RNA (tRNA) molecules are approximately 80 nucleotides in length. Their secondary structure includes four short double-helical elements and three loops (D, anti-codon, and T loops). The record is from RNAcentral. Lineage: Eukaryota; Synurophyceae; Synurales; Mallomonadaceae.